CCUUCCAGUGGAGACGGUUCAGCCUUCUGGCAUAGAUUCUUCAGCCUUCAGGCAAAGAGCCUUUGGCCCCCUGAUAUGAACUCCCACAGGACACUACAUGGAGGUCCAGGCCUUCAACUGGAUCCUUUGGACUAUGGAAAAGGUACUCCAUUAGCCUAUGUCAGAAAUACAAACUUAAAGCUAUACAUCUACCCAUGAUGGAAAUGCCUGAUACCUAUUGAGGACCUUUAGGACUCUCUGAAGGGUAUCGCCAACUGCCAACCACAACUAUGACUCCCUUCAGCCUGAAGAAGCAAGAGCAGUCACCGCCCCUUACCCCCUCAUGGUAGGUCAGGAUACUU
This 341-nucleotide long non-coding RNA is filed under the name Fukomys damarensis (Damara mole-rat). Its description in RNAcentral is "lncRNA (ENSFDAG00000032603.1)". Lineage: Eukaryota; Metazoa; Chordata; Mammalia; Rodentia; Bathyergidae. The record is from RNAcentral.